This 433-nucleotide ribosomal RNA is filed under the name uncultured bacterium. Its description in RNAcentral is "partial 16S ribosomal RNA". It matches the Rfam family "Bacterial small subunit ribosomal RNA", at positions 29 to 507 of the family's 1533-position model. The record is from RNAcentral.
AACGAACGCUGGCGGCAUGCCUAACACAUGCAAGUCGAACGAGACCUUCGGGUCUAGUGGCGCACGGGUGCGUAACGCGUGGGAACCUGCCCUUAGGUUCGGAAUAACUCCCCGAAAGGGGUGCUAAUACCGGAUAAUGUCUUCGGACCAAAGAUUUAUCGCCUUUGGAUGGGCCCGCGUUGGAUUAGCUGGUUGGUAGGGUAAAAGCCUACCAAGGGGUCGAUCCAUAGCUGGCCUGAGAGGAUGAUCAGCCACACUGGGACUGAGACACGGCCCAGAAUCCUACGGGAGGAAGCAGUGGGGAAUAUUGGACAAUGGGCGAAAGCAUGAUCCAGCAAUGCCGCGUGAGUGAUGAAGGCCUUAGGGUUGUAAAGCUCUUUUACCCGGGAUGAUAAUGACAGUACCGGGAGAAUAAGCUCCGGCUAACUCCGUG